This 492-nucleotide ribosomal RNA is filed under the name uncultured bacterium. Its description in RNAcentral is "partial 16S ribosomal RNA". It matches the Rfam family "Bacterial small subunit ribosomal RNA", at positions 29 to 507 of the family's 1533-position model. The record is from RNAcentral.
AGUGAACGCUGGCGGUAGGCCUAACACAUGCAAGUCGAACGGCAGCACAGUAAGAGCUUGCUCUUACGGGUGGCGAGUGGCGGACGGGUGAGGAAUACAUCGGAAUCUACUUUUUAGUGGGGGAUAACGUAGGGAAACUUCCGCUAAUACCGCAUACGACCUACGGGUGAAAGCAGGGGAUUUUCGGACCUUGCGCGAUUGAAUGAGCCGAUGUCGGAUUAGCUAGUUGGCGGGGUAAAGGCCCACCAAGGCGACGAUCCGUAGCUGGUCUGAGAGGAUGAUCAGCCACACUGGAACUGAGACACGGUCCAGACUCCUACGGGAGGCAGCAGUGGGGAAUAUUGGACAAUGGGCGCAAGCCUGAUCCAGCCAUACCGCGUGGAGGAUGAAGGCCUUCGGGUUGUAAAGCCCUUUUGUUGGGAAAGAAAAGCAGCAUGUUAAUACCCCGCUGUUCUGACGGUACCCAAAGAAUAAGCACCGGCUAACUUCGUG